Molecule: long non-coding RNA, 643 nt
Filed under: Heterocephalus glaber (naked mole-rat)
Lineage: Eukaryota; Metazoa; Chordata; Mammalia; Rodentia; Bathyergidae
Description: lncRNA (ENSHGLG00000034616.1)
Source: RNAcentral
AAAUGCUUUGGUUUGAAUUUCCCUGGCUGUUGUAUGUGAGGUUUGUCUGCACCUCAUUCAGAUUCAAGAUGCACUUUGAUAGAAUUAAGAGAGGAACUGAAAGAGCGAAGAAAAUCCUCCAUUCAAGAUUCUUUUACUGGAGCAUGGACCUACUAGGUGAUUUCUGGACAAAGAUAAUUUUCAGUAUGUAAGACAGGAACCAAAGUUAGGAGUGACACCUCCGAGGAAUUGUACCCCUCGCCACAGAGCAGACUUGCCUUGUCUCUGCUCUUCGAUCAUUUGGAUUGGACCAAGCUGCUGUUUUUGGAACCCUCAACUUAACGGCUAUUCACGGAACCCUCUUACCUUCCAGAAAAUGUAGUACUUUGCCAAGAACCACAGUUAACAUCAUUACCACUUAAGAAUUAAGUCCAGCAAAAUGUGCCUUUUCAAUGAUGACGUUCUAGCAAUAAAUUUUCUUAAAACUAAAAAAAGAGGAUAAUGGUCGCAAUUUUGGGCUUUGAUAUUGGAGAACAACAGUGGUUACAGCAUGGAACCUCACUGAGAAUAUAGCAUUGAAACAAUAUCAUUGAGACAUAACUGCCUAUACAUUUGAUUUUUCUGAAUACGGUAAUAGAGGAACACAAUUUAAAAGUUUUGCUCA